GACGAACGCUGGCGGCGUGCUUAAUACAUGCAAGUCAACUUGACUUUAGAUAGCAAUAUCGAAAAGUAGGGUGGCGCACGGGUGCGUAACGCGUAGGUAAUCUGCCCUGAGGUCUGACAUAACCCGUCGAAAGGCGGGCUAACAUCAGAUGAUAUAUAAUCACGACAUCGUGGAAAAUAUCAAAUCUUCGGAGCCUUGGGAUGAGCCUGCGUCUGAUUAGGUAGUUGGCGGAGUAAUAGCCCACCAAGCCUACGAUCAGUAGCUGGUCUGAGAGGAUGAUCAGCCACACUGGAACUGAGACACGGUCCAGACUCCUACGGGAGGCAGCAGUAAGGAAUAUUGCUCAAUGGGGGAAACCCUGAAGCAGCAACGCCGCGUGAAGGAUGAAAUACUUUUGUAUGUAAACUUCUGUAAGAUGGGAAAAAUAUUCUCCUCGGAGAAUUGAUUGUACCAUCAGAGUAAGCCCCGGCUAACUACGUGCCAGCAGCCG
RNAcentral lists this ribosomal RNA (490 nucleotides) under uncultured bacterium. Its description in RNAcentral is "bacterial SSU rRNA". It matches the Rfam family "Bacterial small subunit ribosomal RNA", at positions 28 to 517 of the family's 1533-position model. The record is from RNAcentral.